UAACAACCGGCUCUCUAGAUCACUUUAAAAAUUCAACUCAGGACUUGUGUGCUCUAGCGAAAACUCAUCUGGAUAAAUCCUGCAACUCUGUUUGGAAAGUUUCAUUAAAAUCUAAACGUAGAUUCUACGCAUCUCUACAACCAGAUAUUCCAAGGCGACCUUGGUUUUCUCUUCACAGGCAAGCUAAACAUUGGAUCACCACAACUAUCUGCCGACUACGCCUUGGACAUGCAUGUUAUGGGUUAACAGAGAGUCUACUACUAUUAUGCCUUCAAAAUUGAAUUAAGCCUGUAAUCUCGACGGCACCGUUCAAUCUCCAUCGUGUCUUCUCCAUCGCACGUGACAUUGGCGAAAUAAUCUGUGCCCCCUUGGCACAAAUAAAAGCCAAAAUAAAUAAAA
Long non-coding RNA from Vanessa tameamea, 399 nucleotides. RefSeq lists it as uncharacterized. The transcript has 2 exons. NCBI's taxonomy places the organism in Eukaryota, Metazoa, Arthropoda, Insecta, Lepidoptera, Nymphalidae. The record is from RefSeq and is a predicted model, not a curated record.